RNAcentral lists this long non-coding RNA (966 nucleotides) under Homo sapiens (human). Its description in RNAcentral is "HSALNT0177526". Lineage: Eukaryota; Metazoa; Chordata; Mammalia; Primates; Hominidae. The record is from RNAcentral.
GCUACCCAAAAAUCCCAGGGGAGGUAGUCAGCUGGGCUUGAUGACAGCCACCCCAGCCCUGGGGGAGCCACUCCCAGGCAGGACACCUCCUGCCUCUCAGGUCAUACCCCUUCCUAGAUGCCCACAUCUGUAUGAUGGGGAUGAGAAAAUCUUCUCUUUAUGGAAGAAAAUCUACAGAGAGCCCUGAGCAGGAGCCUGGCAUGGAUAUAACACGCACCCAACAGCUGCUGCCACUUCCUUCCCUGGGAGGGCCUUCUGCAGCUCGGCGCCCUCAGCCUGUGCGUGGCUUUGCCCCCUGCACAUUUGCCAGCAGGCAUCAGCAGGACCCUGGGAAAGCAACAGUGAUGUAGUCAGGGCCACCUCCUCAUCUCCUGCUCCAUGCUAAAGAGAGAGCCAGACCAAGACUGGAGGUCUCUAGGAGGGACAAAUAGAGCCACCAAGUCCUCGCAGAGGAGCAGCCCCUGCAUGCUGCUGUGAGCGUGGGGUACCCCACCUCCUCACACCAGCCCCACCAGCAGGAGGUCGACGGCCACGUUCUACAGGAGAUGAAGUUUAUUUCUCCACCCCUGAAUCUGGACUUGGCCUGUGACUUGCUUUGUCCAAAGGGACGAAGCAAACAGGAUGCAAGCAGAGGCUGGAAAAGCUUUUGUGCAUGCAGGCUGCUAUGUCGGUACCGGGACCUCCCGCCAGCACAUGAGCAAGGCCGGGCUGAUCUCCUGAGGAUGAAUGAGCACAUAGGGAGAGCAUCGCUGUCCCAGCAGAGGCCCCCAACAUGGGAGAGAGGCCAUCCCCAACCAUCCAGCCACAGCCAGGCCAGCCCGGAUCAGAAAUCUUGCUUAGCCAACUCACAGAACCUGGAGAAAUAAUGAACCCUCGCUGUUUUAAGCCACAAUGUUUUGAGGUGGUUUGUUACACUGCAAAAGCUAGCUGAUACACUUCUCCAGCAACAGGGAGGCUAGGCAAUGC